This 607-nucleotide ribosomal RNA is filed under the name Halomonas sp. S23-2. Its description in RNAcentral is "bacterial LSU rRNA". The stretch from base 183 to 607 matches the Rfam family "Bacterial large subunit ribosomal RNA", at positions 1 to 474 of the family's 2925-position model. Lineage: Bacteria; Pseudomonadati; Pseudomonadota; Gammaproteobacteria; Oceanospirillales; Halomonadaceae. The record is from RNAcentral.
CCAUCCCGACAGUCGCAUCAUCAAGCCCUAAGCCGUGUGCUUUCCCGUAAAGCCUACCGCUUAGAGCUUUUGCUCUAAUGCUCUUUAACAAUGUGGAACAAGCUGACAAAGCAAGACGAUACGUCUCAAGCGUAUCCGGCAAUUAUCGUGUUCAUCCACGAUCAGACCCUUUGGGGUUAUAUGGUCAAGCGAUGAAGCGCAUACGGUGGAUGCCUAGGCAGCCAGAGGCGAUGAAGGACGUUGUAGCCUGCGAAAAGGCUCGGUGAGGUGGCAAACAACCUGCGACCCGGGCAUGUCCGAAUGGGGAAACCCACUCAUCACAAGAUGAGUAUCCCGCACUGAAUUCAUAGGUGCCGGGAGGCGAACCGGGGGAACUGAAACAUCUAAGUACCCCGAGGAAAAGAAAUCAACCGAGAUUCCCUCAGUAGCGGCGAGCGAACGGGGACCAGCCCUUAAGUCAAUGCACGGUUAGGUGAACGGCCUGGAAAGGCCGGCCAUAGUGGGUGAUAGCCCCGUAACCGAAAACCCGCAUUGGUGAAAUCGAGUAGGUCGGGGCACGUGAAACCUUGACUGAAGACGGGGGGACCAUCCUCCAAGGCUAAAUACU